Molecule: microRNA precursor, 153 nt
Filed under: Citrus sinensis (sweet orange)
Lineage: Eukaryota; Viridiplantae; Streptophyta; Magnoliopsida; Sapindales; Rutaceae
Description: miR408 stem-loop (csi-MIR408)
Gene: csi-MIR408
Rfam family: MIR408 microRNA precursor family (bases 41-153)
Source: miRBase by way of RNAcentral
AGGUAAUAAUAACUCUUUGGUGUGUGCGUGAGAGAGAGGCAAGAAGCAAGAGACAAAAGACGGGGAACAGGCAGAGCAUGGAUGGAACCAUUAACAGGUUCUCUGUUUUGGCUCCUCCCAUGCACUGCCUCUUCCCUGGCUCUCUGCCUUCCU